RNAcentral lists this ribosomal RNA (407 nucleotides) under uncultured bacterium. RNAcentral's name for it is "partial 16S ribosomal RNA". It matches the Rfam family "Bacterial small subunit ribosomal RNA", at positions 30 to 526 of the family's 1533-position model. The record is from RNAcentral.
AUUGAACGCUAGCGGGAUGCCUUACACAUGCAAGUCGAACGGAGUGGCGAACGGGUGAGUAAUGCAUCGGAACGUGCCCAGUAGCGGGGGAUAACUACGCGAAAGCGUAGCUAAUACCGCAUACUAUUGGAGCGGCCGAUAUCGGAUUAGCUAGUUGGGGGGGUAACUGCUCACCAAGGCGACGAUCCGUAGCUGGUUUGAGAGGACGACCAGCAACGCUGGGACUGAAACACGGCCCAGACUCCUACGGGAGGCAGCAGUGGGGAAUUUUGGAGAAUGGGGGAAACCCUGAUCCAGACAGCCCGCGUGUGCGAUGAAGGCCUACGGGUUGUAAAGCACUUUCAGCGAGGAGGCGUUACUCGCAGAAGAAGCACCGGCUAACUCCGUGCCAGCCGCCGCGGUAAUUC